Apteryx rowi (Okarito brown kiwi) is the source of this 1606-nucleotide long non-coding RNA. The record is from Ensembl. Lineage: Eukaryota; Metazoa; Chordata; Aves; Apterygiformes; Apterygidae.
CAGGCCAUGGGGGUUUUCAGGAGAAAAAAAAAUAACUUAAAAAAAAAAWAUAUAUAUAUAUAUAUAGAUAUAGAUAUAUCCUGCUUCCAGGGCCCCCGGGGCCCCGCAGCCCGGUGAAGGGGCUGCCCGGGACAACAUGAAGUCCCGGCUCAGCCCACGCCACGCGGGUUUGCUUGGAGCUCCCUGGAAAGGGCAUCCUUCAGCUGGGACGGAGCACGGAUAACUUCCCAGAAAGUGGCGAAACAUCUCGCCGGUGUCCUGAAAUCUCUGCGUCAGCACCUGCAGAAAGCAAGCCACUCGGUCCUGUUUCAUAAAAUGUGGCGAGUACCUAGGGUGAAGGUAGACAAUGUCUUCCCUCCUAGGUCUGCGCAGCACAGGAAAUCCCGCUCAGGGAAGCAGCUCCCACUGCUGCACAGGGGGCAGCUGCAGCCCGCUCUGGCGCUGGGCGAGGCCGUCUGUGUUGCAAAUGGCCAUGAAGCUACCCAAAAAUCAGGCUUUGCCUACACCCACACCCACCAGCUACACUAAAUGCAGGAGGCCAAAGAUGCAAGGUGGGCGAGAGCAGAAGCAAAAGGUAUCCAAUACUGGGAAGGAGGAGCCUGGAAAGCAAUGGGGAGAAAAGCAUAUCUAAACUGCUGCACAGACACCAGGAAUCAUGGGCCACUGGCAGUUAGGCUGCAGCGAUCUCUGCAUUCAGAAGGAAAUUCAAGAUAAAACAGUCUUCACCCUGCAAGGAGCUAAGAGUGCCUGUACCCUGCCCUGACCUCAGGAAGCAUUAGAAAUACUUAAUUUUGCAUGUUGCCAUGCAAACUCAGUAUUUAUUCUGGUGACUCUAGCAAUGGGGGCCUGAGAAGGACCAUGCUGAGACUAUGCACAUGGACAGAGGUUUUCAAGGCCAGCCUCUUGUGGACCCUGAGUUCCCACCAACUCUCUCAUGAGCUCAGACUCUUCAGCAUCUCCCAGAAAUUAGACCUUCUGUCAGUAAGAUAGAUGCACACUAGUUCUGGAAAAUACAGUUUGGGAACUCAUUAGUUUAAUACCAUCAUUGAGAAAGAAUCUGACUGAAGGGAAUUCCCACAGUGUUACACAAUCAGAAACAUCUGAGUCUCAUGUUGUGGGGUUUUAAAGAUCAGCCUUCCCCUCAGAGAAAAAACAUUAUUAUAGUCUGUUCAAUACAUUUCUCUAAGCUGUUCUGAGGUAAAUUUAAGUGAAAGAGUGAGUUAAGGCAGUUGUGUCACACCAGUAAAGACAGAGAUUUGCUUUAUGACUUAGCUAGUUUCUGAGUUCUAGUUGGAAAGCUGGUUCUGUCAUGCUUUGAGUUUUGAUUUUAUAACCACUGGCAUGUGGAAGUGUUGUUUUUCCUUAUAAGAGGUAUCAAUUAGUAGUUAUCAUCAGGCAAAAGGGGGGGAAUCCUUUUAUUUGUUUAGUAUUUAAAAAAAGGGGUUACAGCAGGAGCUUGGUCUUGCUGAACUCUGCAGGUUGCCUUCUCCCCCUCGUAGGCACAGCAGCAAGCUGUACUCACAUGAGGCUCAGAUUGUACUGUUUGUGCCUGUGAAUUACUGUCUGAUGAAAUAAAGCCUCCUGGAAACAGCGAGGAAGUAUAAUC